AUUGAACGCUGGCGGCAGGCCUAACACAUGCAAGUCGAGCGGAUGAAGGGAGCUUGCUCCUGGAUUCAGCGGCGGACGGGUGAGUAAUGCCUAGGAAUCUGCCUGGUAGUGGGGGAUAACGUCCGGAAACGGGCGCUAAUACCGCAUACGUCCUGAGGGAGAAAGUGGGGGAUCUUCGGACCUCACGCUAUCAGAUGAGCCUAGGUCGGAUUAGCUAGUUGGUGGGGUAAAGGCCUACCAAGGCGACGAUCCGUAACUGGUCUGAGAGGAUGAUCAGUCACACUGGAACUGAGACACGGUCCAGACUCCUACGGGAGGCAGCAGUGGGGAAUAUUGGACAAUGGGCGAAAGCCUGAUCAAGCCAUGCCGCGUGUGUGAAGAAGGUCUUCGGAUUGUAAAGCACUUUAAGUUGGGAGGAAGGGCAGUAAGUUAAUACCUUGCUGUUUUGACGUUACCAACAGAAUAAGCACCGGCUAACUUCGUG
RNAcentral lists this ribosomal RNA (484 nucleotides) under uncultured bacterium. Its description in RNAcentral is "partial 16S ribosomal RNA". It matches the Rfam family "Bacterial small subunit ribosomal RNA", at positions 30 to 507 of the family's 1533-position model. The record is from RNAcentral.